CAGGUACUGAACCGGAGUGUAUGCAUGCCACAGUAAUCCUGCUCCAUACAUAGGGGAGUUCUGUCUUGGACCAUCCCAACAGGGGGAGGAAUCUGGGUUUGCCAGGCUCUGAAUGAAUAGCAAAAGGAUUCUGGAUGAGAGUCUGAAAUGAGAUCAUGGGCUGUUGAAAUGCGUGAUAAGGAAAAACCUGGGAGAAGAGUGUGGAAGAGGACUAUUCCUGGCCUGAACAGAAGGCUUGUGCCACCUGUGGGAAGGGAACAUCCUGGUAGUGUCAACGGGUUCAGUCUUACAAGAUGCGAGUUAUCUUCUCCAGGCUGCCCAGUCUUCAACUGAACCAGGGAUUUCUUGCAGGAUUGAGAGCCCUUUCAGGCUUGCUCCUGAGCUAAAUGCAAACUGGUACAGCACAUCGGAUGCCAGUUUACAUCAGGAUUUUUGUGAAGAACCAGCAGUUGAGGGUAAUGUUGCACUUCAUGCUGAGGUAAGAUGAACUUCCACAUAAGAGUAUCUUGGGUGCUUUCUAGAUACCGUCUCUGCACUGCUUUCAUUGUCCCUCACAGUAAACACACAAAAUGCUCUGUAUUCUGAAAAAUGUUGUCUAAUAGAGGAGCUUUCCAUUGCUAAAGCACCUUGCACCUGCCUUAGCUGUGGAAACUAGAAACAUCCAUCUUUAAUUUAGAAAUUAUGGCACCCGCAGAUUCAUGGUAAUCUACAGAAGCGCUGGCUCCUUGCGAAAUGGCAGCAGAACUUUGGGUGCGGCUUUCUGGACGGAUCACUAGCAGUCCAGGUUUAGCCUGAGUAGAAGAAAUUCAACGAAUACAAAGCUUGACUACAAGGACUGAAGCAUCAGUCAGAGGCAGUAUACAGAAUGGGCAGCUGACCUUAAGAAACACUUGCCAUAAAUCAGUAUUGCUCAUCUGUGCUAGUGCUGUAGAUUCAGAAGCCUGAACUUGUUUAAUGUGAUCAGUGUUUUUGACCGUGGCUUAAAAAUUGUUUGAAGCCUACAGUAAAACUUUGUCAGUCUGCUGUUAUCACUGAGCUAGAAAGAGUUCAUACAGAUUCAUAGGUCAGAAAUUCAGUUGUGUAGUUCAAAACAGUUUGAAUGCUUGCUAAAAGCACACUUUUUAAAUAAGGAGGGGGAACUGAGGAGGUCAGAGAAACUCUAUAUUGAAUAUAGUGAAUUUUAUUUUAUUUUUUUAGAAAGGAGUGAUUUUCGUUGUACUUUAAUUUACACAGACCUAAUUCAUUAGAAAGUGCGAUGAAGGAUUCUGGUCUCCAUUCAUAUUUUCCUCAGGUUUCUACUGGCCCCCCCUUAAACCACUAGCAUUGAGCUCCUUGUGGCUUUUAAUUAGCUAUUUUUCUAACAAUUUUAAUUGUUAGAAAACAAAGUUUCCCUAUUUCCCCCUGCUUUCUCUGUGGCAGAGGCCUUCCCUUUAGCUAGAGCUGCCCCUCGUUCCCUGAUCCUUGGAAUAAAUGUCAGGGUGGUUAAGGCCAGCAGCCCUCCUACCCCUGCGGCAGCUCUGGUCUGUGGGCAGCGGUCGGUUAUGGUUGGCAAGUCAUGCUGACAGCUGCUGCUGAGGUGGUCACGAGGGGCAGGGGACGGGGCAGAGGGGAACUGCUGGUCUUGUUUGGGGUCUCAUUUGCUUUUCUGCCAGACAAUAUAUCAGUCAUACACACUUACUUAAUGAACUGCUCUAUCAGGCGAGACAGACCUGAGGAUUGCCAGAAGUGUUAAACUUGGUGAAAAAGGGUAAGAACAUGGCAAGUAUAUUGUUCUCCUGUUACAGAUUUCCACAUUCUCACUCUGACAUUCGUUUACAACUAAAAGGAGGUCAGACAUCUUUAUUACUGUUGCUGUGGUAAAGUUUUCAGAAUAUUAUUUGCAGUAAUUACAGACCUAUUAUUAAUUUUAGAACUAUAUACCCUGUGUUGUAGCCUGCUCCCACCAUGAAUGUUAUGAUGUGUGAGCUUUCUAGACCACCUGAUAUAUGUCAGAGCAAAACAGGCCCUGAAGCACCCAAGCCCCUUCUUCAAAUCUGAAAUAGAAACUACCUUCAAAGCUAAGCCGAGGUCAAAAAACCACUGAGCUUUUGAUAUCAUUUUAUCACCCAGUGCUUCUAACAUUUCCAGGUAUUAAAAGAUUCUCCGUUGCACUUCAAACAGCUUUUUCUAAUUGUGCUAAACCAUUCUGUGUUAUUGUCAUAGUUAGGUCAUCAUUUAUCUGCUCAGCCAGAUCAGCUGCAGGUAUGCUGAAGAGCAUAAAGCCAUGUGAGAUUGUGCAUGUAACCUCCCUGCAUUAUCAAAAAUGACUUAUUUUCAAUAUCUUUGCCCUGGUGUAGCCAGUUACUAAUCCACAGGGGAUGACUCCUUCCUAUUUCCUGGCACUGUAUGUAUUAUUUAAUAAGCAUUGUUUAGGUGGAAUCUUGAUACAGGCUUUUUGGAAAUCCAUGUCCAGUAUGUUGAUUGUCCAUUAAACUGCUCUCUCUUACGUGACAAUUCCCUUAAAACAGCCUGUACAAGGUAGCUCAGUGCAGGCUAUUUUGUCAUUUCCUAUCCGUCUAUUGCUGUAGGUGGGAUUUUAUUUUUUUUUGCAUAAAACUGAUCUGAAAAAAUGUACAAUGACUCUCUGUCCUGGUUUCAGCUGGGAUAGGGUUAAUUUUCUUCUUAGUAGCUGGUGCAGUGCUGUGUCUGGGAUUUGGUGUGAGAGUAGUGUUGAUAACAACAGAUGGUUUUUAGUUGUUGCUGGGUGAUGUUUAUACUAAGUCAAGUAGUUUUCAGCUUCUCAGGCCCUGCCACGGAGAGGGCUGGAGGGGCACAAGAAACUGGGAGGGGACACCUGACCCGAGCUAGCCAAAGGGAUACUCCAUACCACAGAAUAUCAUGCUCAGUAUAUAAGCUGGGGGCACUCAGGCAGGGCCUCUCAAUCGCUGCUCAGGGCCUUGCUGGGCAUUGGUCAGCGGGUGGUUUUUGCAAAGCAGUUGCACUGUGCGUCACUUGGGGUUUUUUCCCUCCCUUCCCUUUGGAUUUUAUUCUUCUUCCCUUCUCCCUCCUUUUCAUUAUAAUUGUUGUUAUUAUUAUUAUUUUCCUAUUGUAUUUCAAUUAUUAAAUUGUUCUUAUCUCCGCCCUUGAGUUUCACAUUCCUUCUCAAUUCUCCUCCCCACCUCUCUGGGGAGGGGGUGGGGGGUGAGCGAGUGGCUGCGUGGUACUUAAGUUACUGGCUGGCGAUAAACCACGACACUUUGUUAUCCUUAAUGUGUUUCCAUUGGCAGGGAUCAAAGCAGUAAAAGACAGGCUGAAAUUGGACCCAGAAGACAAACAGUCCACGCCACAUCCUCUAAGU
Molecule: long non-coding RNA, 3337 nt
Organism: Falco peregrinus (peregrine falcon)
Lineage: Eukaryota; Metazoa; Chordata; Aves; Falconiformes; Falconidae
Exons: 4
Source: RefSeq, a predicted model, not a curated record